GGCCACAGCCAUAUCACUCUGCAGCCCAAGACCGGUUACUCACUGAAGCUAAGCAGGGCUGAGCCUGGUUAAUACCUGAAUGGGAGACCACAUGGGAAAACUAGGUUGCUGUUGGAA
Molecule: ribosomal RNA, 117 nt
Filed under: Danio rerio (zebrafish)
Lineage: Eukaryota; Metazoa; Chordata; Actinopteri; Cypriniformes; Danionidae
Source: RNAcentral